UUGACGGUACCCUACUAGAAAGGAGCCGCUAACUUCGUGCCAGAAGCGUCGGUAAUACGGGGGCUCCAAGCGUUAUCCGGUGUUAUUGGGCGUAAAGAGUCGUGUAGGUGGUUGGGUAAGUUAUCUUUCAAAUAUCUUUGCUUAACAAAGAGGAGGGGGAUAAUACUGCUCGACUAGAAUUUUCUCAAGGGAGAUCGGAACUGAGGGAGGAGUAGUGAAAUGCGUUGAUACCCUCGGGAACACCAGUGGCGUAGGCGGAUCUCUGGGAGAAGAUUGACACUGAGACACGAAAGCUAGGGGAGCGAAGCAGAUUAGAGACCUGCGUAGUCCUAGCCGUAAACGCAUGCUUGCUAGCUGCAUGAAUCUACCUUCGGGUGGUAUCGUGUGGCGAAGGUAACCCGUUAAGCAAGCCGCCUGGAAAGUACGGCCGCAAGGCUGAAAUUCAAAGGAAUUGGGCGGGGAGGCACACAACCAGUGGAACAUGUGGUUUAAUUCGAGACUAACCGAAGAACCUCACCAGGGCUUGACAUGUAGCUGCACGUCUUAAGAAAUUAAGACUCUCUUGAAGGUGCUACACAGGUGCUGCAUGGCUGUCGUCAGCUCGUUCCGUGAGGAGUGCCCUUAAGUGGGACAACGAGCGCAACCCCUAUUACAUGUUAGAAAUGUCAUGUAAGACUGCCUUGCCACUCUCGGCGGGGAGGAAGGAGGGGCAGACGUCAAGUCCGCAUGGUCCUUAUGCCCUGGGCUACACACAUGUUACAAUGAGUACGGCAAUGAGUCUGUCGCGAGCACGUAAGUGUAAGCUAAUCUCUUAAAUGUACUCUCAGUGGGGAUUGAGGUCUGCAACUCGACCUCAUGAACACGGAAUUGGUAGUCCUCGCGGGUCAGCUAUACCGCGGUGAAUACGUUCUUGCCUCUUGCACACACCGCCCGUCAAACCAGCAAAGU
This 948-nucleotide ribosomal RNA is filed under the name uncultured organism. RNAcentral's name for it is "bacterial SSU rRNA". It matches the Rfam family "Bacterial small subunit ribosomal RNA", at positions 469 to 1411 of the family's 1533-position model. The record is from RNAcentral.